GGCAAGAUGAGAUGACCCUGGGAUGGGAGGUUGUCUCCUUGGCUCAUCAUUUGUUUAUUUCUUGGUGUUCUGAUCUCUCCUAGACAGAAGCCAAGUUUUAAUUAGCUCCCCUUAGGGAAAUGGAGAUGAGUAUGGAAGACAGAGAUGCCUUGAGGAAAGGUAUUACUUUGGGACUACCUGAAGAGCUCACCCCCUUUGCUCCAUGCUCUUCAGCCAACUUCUUCCCAAAAGCUUAGCUCCCUUCCCUCUUUCCUCAACCUCUACUCUCUGGGUGCAAAGUCCCUUAUAAACCUGCUCACCCUGAGGGACAAGCAACUAAUUUUGUCCUUUUGAGGGGGAGGUACAAUUUUUAAAAGGGUGGUGAGCAAUCAUAAGCUCACAGAACUCAACAGAUAGAAUUUAUCUCUUUCUCCAUCCCACCCCCAAAUACAUUGUUUUGUUUGUUUCGAUUUUUGGAUAUUUUAUUUUCCCAUUUACAUGUCAUAGCACUUCUCAACAUACAUUUUCUGAAACUAUAAGGUCCAAAUUCUCUCUCUCUCUCCUUUCCCUCCAUCCUCCUGGAGAUGGUAAGCAAUUUGAUUUGGUUUAUAUAUGUAUUAUCCUGCAAAACUUACUUCCAUAUUGGUCUUUGUUUUAAGAGAAUAUUCAUAUAAAACCCAAAUCCCAAAAUAAAAACACAAACUAAAGUGAAAAAUACACUUUGAUCUGCAUUCUGAUUCCAACAGUUCUUUCUCUGAAGGUGGACAGCAUUCUUUGUCAUAAGUCCCUCAGAGUUGUCCUGGAUCAUUGUAUUGCUGAUGAUAGCUAAGUCUUUCACAGUUGAUCAUCAUACAAUAUUGCUGCUUCUGUGUACAACGUUCUCCCAGUUCUGCUUAUUUUGCUCUGCAUCAGUUCAUAAGGCUAUCCCAACAAAGAAUAAAGAAAGAUGGAGGAAAAAGCUCUAUUCAUCAAGACUGAACAGCACAUCAAUCAAGUCUGUCAAUAAUAUACAGUUCCACAUGAUAGUCCUUCACUUCCACAAAAAGGGAAAUAGAUUAGAUUUUUUUUCUCUGGAGAAAAGUUUGGUCCUUAUCACUUGAUAACAUUCAGUUUCAAUCAUUUGGUGGUGAUUGUUUUUUCCAUUUAUAUUGCCAUAUUUAUUGUUUUAUUGUUCUUUUGGUCUUUUUUACUUUAUUUUGCAUCAGUCCAUAUAAGCUCUUAUCCAUGCCUCUCUGUACUCAUCAUAUUCAUCCUUUCUUAAAAUCCAAAAAUAUAGCAUACAUUUAUAAAGCACAGAUUGAGCAUCGACUUUGUUUCCCAUUCUUUGCUAUUUCACAAAAUGUCACUACAAAUAUUUUGGCAAAUAAUGGGAUUUAAAAAUAUGUAUCAUUUAUCUCUUUGAAGAGUAUAUAUUUCUUUGAAUUAAAAAAAUAUGGACAUGAAUCAUUUUGCAACAACAAAAAAUCAAAAUUUCAACUCUUUCAAAUCAUAAUUUGAAAGAAAUUCCAAAUUUAUUUCUAGGAUGGUUGGAGUAAUUCACAGCUCCACUAGUGUGUCUCUUUUUACACCUCAGAGUUGUCUUUUUCUUUUUUUUUGCAUUACUCUUAUGGAUGCACUCUCAUUAUGGAUGAUUUGGAGCAUUCCUCUUUUUUUUUUUUAAAGCCUUUUAAUGAACCUGAUCUUCUAUAAAGGAGAUGGGAUGGUGUCUUCUGUCUUUUCUUUGGAGUCAAGCUUGGUCAUUAUAAUUUUAAGCCAUUAAAUUUUGACUGUUUUGUUGCUGUUUUUUAUGUUUCUACACUUGGAGUUAUCGUGUAGACAUUGUCUUUCCAAGAUUCUCAGUAUUUAUAUUCAUUGUUUUUAGUAGCAUAGUAAUAUUCCAGUCUGGAGAAGAAAAUAACAAACCAUUCCAGUUAUCUUUGCCAAGAAAAUCCCAAAUGAGGUCACAAAGAAUCGCACAUGAAUGAAAUGACUGAACAACCACAAAACAAAAUAUUCCAGUCAGUCAACAAAGAUUUAUCAAGCACUUACUAGAAGCACAGAGAAAGCCUAAAAAAGCCCCCCUCCCCUCAAAAUCCCCCUCCCUCCC
Long non-coding RNA from Monodelphis domestica (gray short-tailed opossum), 2065 nucleotides. The record is from Ensembl. NCBI's taxonomy places the organism in Eukaryota, Metazoa, Chordata, Mammalia, Didelphimorphia, Didelphidae.